RNAcentral lists this unclassified non-coding RNA (271 nucleotides) under Hevea brasiliensis (rubber tree). The record is from RNAcentral. Lineage: Eukaryota; Viridiplantae; Streptophyta; Magnoliopsida; Malpighiales; Euphorbiaceae.
GUGAAGAUCUUAUAAUAAAAGGAAAGCAGUCAAUAUUAAAAAGAAAAAUAAGAGAGAGGAGAGACGGCUUCUUGUCUUUACCAUGUUUUUAUGUGUCCAUGGAAAACAACGCGGCUCCCGACAUUCAGUCCAUCCUAUUCCUAAACCCAUAACUACUUUAAUCGUUGCAGCUUUGGGUUCAUCUCCUUCCCUAGCUUUUCUUUAUUUUCUCUGAUUUUGUCUUUAUCUCUUCAAAGAUGCCGUCUAAUUCCCUUUCUUUAUUUUCUCUGAA